Molecule: long non-coding RNA, 227 nt
Filed under: Mytilus galloprovincialis (Mediterranean mussel)
Lineage: Eukaryota; Metazoa; Mollusca; Bivalvia; Mytilida; Mytilidae
Source: RNAcentral
UUCAAACUUAUCAAAUUUAUUGCACUCCCUUUUUGAAGAACGAAAGAAAAUUAUAGAAAAUAUUGUUGUUUAAAAAAAAAAAAAAAAAAAAAAAUAGAAGAAAAAUAUAUAUUAGAUAUAUAUAUAUAUAUAUAAAUUAAAAUUGAUCAGGAGUUGUCUCCCAUAGACCUAGAACUAUCCUAAAGAUUUAUGUAAUUUCUCCAGGUCACAGUGGCACCCAUAACAAC